RNAcentral lists this ribosomal RNA (228 nucleotides) under uncultured bacterium. RNAcentral describes it as "partial 16S ribosomal RNA". It matches the Rfam family "Bacterial small subunit ribosomal RNA", at positions 103 to 334 of the family's 1533-position model. The record is from RNAcentral.
CGGGUGAGUAAUGUAUGGGGAUCUGCCUGAUGGCGGGGGAUAACUACUGGAAACGGUAGCUAAUACCGCAUAAUGUCUACGGACCAAAGCGGGGGACCUCCGGGCCUCGCGCCAUCAGAUGAACCCAUAUGGGAUUAGCUAGUAGGUGAGGUAACGGCUUACCUAGGCGGCGAUCCCUAGCUGGUCUGAGAGGAUGAUCAGCCACACUGGGACUGAGACACGGCCCAG